This is a long non-coding RNA of Pan troglodytes (chimpanzee), 1090 nucleotides long. RefSeq lists it as uncharacterized. The transcript is spliced from 2 exons. The record is from RefSeq and is a predicted model, not a curated record. Lineage: Eukaryota; Metazoa; Chordata; Mammalia; Primates; Hominidae.
GGGCCCCUGGCAGGGCCUGGCGGGGUGCAGGGGAAUCUUUGGAGGCUGCUCUCUUCUCACCCCGCCAAAGGACACCCUUCCAACUCUGCCUGGCUAUAACCAGGUAGCAGCUUCAUAUGUCAGGCCCCAUCUAGCUCCCAAAUCACCCCCGCUACUUCCGAGUUUCCCUGGUGCUCUCUGCUCCUUGGAUUAAGCAGGAGGGAGAAAUGGAGAAAGAGCCUUUUUUCUACAAACACUGACCCAACUUUGUCCCCAUACACCUUAAAGUCUGAACCUGAAGAGGCAGCUACAGGCUCUAACAGAAGGAAAAGGCUCAUUCUUCUCUCCCCGCUCAGAGCAUCAGCUACUUAAAUGGAGAUGUCCUCAAAGGAAAAUAUAAAACACAGAGACAAUGUCUCUGUAUGACCUGAGAUUCCAUAUAAGUGUCUGAGAGAAGUCCCUCCCCGCUCCCCAUCCCCCAACACACAUUCCCUCUCCUAAGUCUGCACUGACUCCCACUCAACCCUGGUGCCAUGGAACAGCCCCCUCCAGCCUCCACACUACCUGCUCUAGGCCGCACCUCCACUGGCAGCUGCUCUGGCCACGUGCCCUGGGCCUAUAACCUUCAAAGUCUGGUCUCUGGCAGGCUGUCACAUUUUAUUCAAAUGAUGUGUAGGCAUACUCUCUGCUCCUCCAAAAAGCAGUUGAUCAUCCAGUCUGUGUUUACUACAGGCCUACUAUGUGCAAGGCACUUGGCAAAGCAUCCCAAGGUGGGUCACCAAAUUUCAAGCUGGCAUUAGAGAAUCACAAGGCUGGUGCACAGAGAGCUGGCUCUCCAGCAAGGACGUCUGGCCUGGCCGGGAAUGAUUCACUGAGCAAAAGGACAUGCCAGAGAAAAUGAGGAGGAUGUUCCAACCCAGGAGUGAGCCGACGGGUAUGCAGAGGCUGGAGCUGUCUCCUGCACACGGGAUCACGUCCCUGUGUUCCAGCCCUACAUGGGGUGCCCACCAGCUGCCCCACAGGGCCCUUAUCACAAACAUCACAAGCCUAUUUCACAAGCUCUUUUCUCCUUGAAAUGUUGAGAUCAAUAUAGCUCCACUGUUAUUUAGCA